GCAAAUCGAUCCUCUUGCAACACUUGCACUGGGUUAAAUGUCAAUCGUAUUGAUCAUUUAACCCUAGAACGAUUCCUAAUCGUUGAUCAACCAUCUGAUCGGAUCAUAAACUCUAAUGUGUGUGACCUCAUAGGUCCGAACCUAAGCUGAUAGUACAGAAAUAAAUUUCUGUACCAAUCGAAGUGACCAUCUAGCAAUGGUACCCGACGAUCGGAUAGGUCGAAUGUGUAGAACAACAUCCUUAGAACCCAUGCGGAUAUAGUUUUUAUAUAAUUCAUCCCCUUGAUCAAAAUGAUCAUAGGACACCCCAGAGUUCAACUGUCAACUCUGAUCAGGUUGUCCACAUUGUAUUUCAAAAUAUCAAAUCCAUCUGAUGGAUUAUCCUGGCCAAGAUUUUGCUAAAUUGAAAUACAGCGACUCAUUCUUCUCCAACUCUUGGAGUGGUCAAUCCCAUCUCGAUCACACUCUGACUUCGCAGGUACUUGACAGUGCCCAG
Molecule: long non-coding RNA, 496 nt
Filed under: Elaeis guineensis (African oil palm)
Lineage: Eukaryota; Viridiplantae; Streptophyta; Magnoliopsida; Arecales; Arecaceae
Description: long non-coding RNA (EGUI_LNC081010)
Source: RNAcentral